UUUUGGCGAGGGAAAAGAGAAAGUAAUUUUUUCCCAAAGUAAAAUGACUAGUUAUUCCAGAAUUGGAAAUAAGGGGGAAAAUAAGAUAAACUCUGAAGAGAUAUAAGAAAGUUGUAGAAGAUCUGUGGAAAGGGAAUCUUGGAAAAGGAGUUUUAUGUGCAGUUGAACUGGCCGAGAUUGAAAUGAAUUUUUUUUUUUUUUGAAAUGAAGUUUUCCAAAAAUAAAUUUCAAUAUCAAAAGUAUUUCAAAGCAAAAUUAGAAUUUAGUUUCUCUCUGCUAAAAGGACAAAAUUUUUUAAAAGAUUGUUGUUCUGGUCUUAAUAAGAAAUUGUAAACAAACAAUUUUCUUUACCUUUUAAAUAAUCUGCUUAGAAAGCAAAGACUUUGUGUUCUACCAAAAUAAUUUACUGUGCUUUACACUGUCUUUAUCAGGUAUUUGAUUACUUAAGAAAAAGCAAUCAUGUCAAUAUUAAAACCAAAAAAAAAAAAAAAGGAUAAUACACCAUGAUAAAGUGUGAUUUAUCCCAGGGAUGCAGGGAUUCUUCAAUAUCCUCAAAUCAAUCAAUGUGAUAUACCACAUCAACAAACUGAACAAUAAAAACCAUAUUAUCAUCUCAAUAGAUGCAGAAAAAGCUUUCGACAAAAUUCAACAACCAUCUCUGAUAAAAACGCCCCAGAAAGUGGGCAGAGAGGGACCUACCUCCACAUAAUAAAGGCCAUACGUGGCAAACCCACAGCGAACAUCAUUCUCAACGGUGAAAAGCCGAAAGCAUUUCCACCAAGAUCAAGAACAAGACAUGGAUGCCUGGAGAGGGAUGGGAAGUGGAAGAGCUCAGGCUGACUGCCCAGCCGCCACAGAAUUCCGGUGAGGAGUGACGGCGCAUCAGCUGUUGUAUGAUGAUAGUUACACCCGUGCAUGUGCAGGACAACGGGAGGAGGCCCUCUCUCAGGCAACACCAGCAAACUGCCAGCCUUGUUCUGUACCAGCAUAAAGGCCAGCGGCGCUUUCCCCGCUGUGCUGCUGCCACCUGUGAAGCUAACAAAGGGAUGUCUGACCUACCCACAGCACCUCGGCUCUUCUUCAGGUUGCCUGAAUCCAUACUGAAUUUGCCUGGUUCUCAAGAGAGAGCAGAACAGUGGGCAUAGUGGGCAGGAUUCACCACAACCUUCAGCCCCUUUGGGAGGUGUCCAGAAGUGGCCGCCCUCAAGCCUGCAGUACUCAGUGACCAGCCUGUGUACCUGGGUGCACCCCACCCUCCCACCCCAAGAAAUGGUGUGAGGUGAACAGGUCCCCUGUGCAGAGAGAGAAAGCCCUGCAUGCAGUAGGGGAGGCUUUGGAAAAAUGGCUCACACAGGGCUGUGGGAUGAGCUGUGGGUGUGGGUGGGCUAUGGGUACCCUGCGGGCAGAGCAUGACUGCUGCUUGAGUCCAGCAAAGUACAAGACCUACAGGACGAGGUGGCAGCCUUCUGUGAGUGUUUGGAGGCUCAGUAGGAGGGUGCCAACUCCAGGGACUAGUCCACAGACACUCCAAAGAAAGGACCUUCGGUUGAGGAAGAGGAAGAGCCUACCUCACUGCUACAGUGCAUCUGGUAGUAGGCCAGAAAACGAAACUACAGCAGCCGAUGGCCCCGGGGAGUCAUGCUGUUGGGCCUCCACAAAUGACAGAGUUACCACUUAGUGCCCUUACACUCAGGCAGAGCUGGUGGACCAGAGCAAACAGUUCCAGCAAUGGCCAGUCGAAAUGCUGGCUGCCUGGUUACGAGGUUAUGGAAUUUAAUGGUGGAUGUGUUAUUUGUUCCACCCAGGAAAUGGAAAAGUUAGCCUCCGUCACCGUAUGCCCCUCACUGCAGCAGCGGCAGACCUGUGGCAGAACGGUUGGCGACAUGGUCAAGGUAACCAUUCCCUCUGGGACUGGACAAUGGCAGCCCCAAGGACUGCGUGGCCAACGUGGGAGAUGGACCUGAAACUGUGAGUAAGGGGCAAAUGUAUGCCGAGGUGGUACAAGUGUUAAGAGAACGGGGGAUGCCACAAGCCGUGUUUAAUCCUAAUGCUCAUGGGCCUCAUGAGGCGUGUUUUACAGCAGGAAUGAGGGACCUCGUGCCACGGAGUGCCCCCUUAGCACCCGUUGGGUCUUUAAUGACUGUUUUGGCUUCGUAUGUGGCGUGAAGGAUUAAAGACGUAACCACAACGGUGGCACUUCUAGGUGAGGCAGAGCCAGCACCAGGGAAGAGGGGUUCAUACUGUUAUCAAACAUGCUAGCACCCCCAGAAAGAUGACGAAUAAGCCCAUGGGAGUUACCCACACCUAAACGUGGACAGACCUCUAAAGGGCAGGGGUUGAUCAAGGCAAGUCUAAUGCAUAUUUGCUGGAAUUGUGGCAACAGCUCCAGGGCGAUCAGAAGUUCACAUCCAUGAGGCGGGGGCCACGUCUAAAGAAGGACUCAAGGAGUCAAGAGCACGGGCAUGGGUCCUGCAUCUCGAGGACCAUGUGUUAUCUGCAGCCCCAAGCAGGGGAAGAUGCCCUUUUUGCCUCUGAGUAGGGCAAAGGCCGAGGUGCUUGUUUGCAGGAGACAAACAGGGACCAGAAACCGCAUGUGGAGUUAGCUAUACGUUGGUCCUCAGCAAAUGUGCAAUGCGUGCUAGCCCUGGUAGAUCCUGGAGCUGACUGCAUGCUCCUACAUGGCACUCCUGAGAAAUUCUAAGGUCCCGUGUGGUGUGUAGAUGGAUAUGGUGGCCACAGCAUUAAGGUCCCAGCUAUAAAGUUACCUUUAGGAACUGGACGACUGCCGCCAAGGGAACAUAAGGUGUGUGUGUCGCCAGUCCAAGAAUAUAACUUGGAACAGAGUGCUCCAAGGGCAAUGGCUGCAGACUACAGCGGGCGAAUUUUGCCUCCGGGUGCAUACGAUAAAGACAGUGGUAGGAGGACAUGCUCAGCAUGCCUCUGUGCGACUGUCUGUUUUGUGACAGGUCACCACCAAACAUCUUCGUCUCCCACGUGGCCACGAGGAAAUUAUGGAGACCAUAGCUGGACUAGGUAGGUGUUAUACAGGCAGCUCACAGCCCCUAUAACUCACCUAUGUGGCUGGUGCGGAAACUGGAUGGCACCUGGAGAAUGACAGUAGACUAUUGUGAGCUAAAUAAAGUUGUCCCUCCUGUGCAUGCUGCUGUGCCCCAAGUAGAUGAAUUGAUGGAUCAUUUGAGUCAAACUGGGCACCUAUCAUUUUGUGGCACAUUUGGCCAAUGUGUUUUUCUCAUUUGACACAGCCCGAGAGUCAAGAUCAAUUUGCAUCCACGUGGAAGGCUGGCAGUGGACAUUCACCGUGUUACCACAGGGAUAUCUGCAUAGUCCCGUGUUGUGUCAUGGCCUGAUGGCCACAGACCUGGCCAAAUGGGAUAAACUGAUGCCAGUCCACAUGUACCCUUAUACUGAUGACAUUUCAUUAAUCUCUUCCAGACUGAUAGAAGGCGGCGCCCCUUUUGUUGACACAUCUGAAGUCAAGCGGCUGGGCAAUCAAUGAAACCAGGUUGCAAGGGCCUGGACUGUCGGUCAAGUUUCUGGGGUUUGUCUGGUCAGGCAAGACAAAGGUUAUUCCCAAAGCUGUUAUAGAUAAGAUACGGGCAUAUCCUGUCCCAACCACAGUUGGACAGUUACAAGUGUUUGAGGCACUCCUAGGGUAGUGGAGAGCAUUUAUCUCCCGUUUAGGUAUUGAAACCACUAUUUGCCUUUAUACAAAAGGGGGCAAAGUGGGACUGGACUUCAGAGGCUGAGACUGCCUUUCUGGUUAUCAAAUAGGCUGUCAAUGCAGCCCAGACCCUACAGGUGUUUGACUCUAUACACCCAUGUGAGUUAGAUGGGGUGUGGACAGGGCUUAGGACAGUUGCAAUAGCUAACACGGUUUGGGUCCCACCUGUGAAAAGGAGCUGAAAUGCAACAUUCGCUAGAUGAAAAGCAGCUGGUGGCCAUAUAUGGCGGCAACUGGAAGCAGAACGGCCACUGCUCCUGUUGUGGUACCCUACAGCAGGAUAGGUAAAGGACUGGACAGUUACACCUUACAUGUUGGCGACUGGACAUAAUUGGGCCUUACCAUGCUCCAAGGGCCAACGCCAUGCAGAGACACUGCCAUGGGCUUGCUGGCUACGUAUCCCGCCCCACAUCCAGAUCAAAGGGCAAUUUUAGCCACCUUAGCCCAUCUGUGUGCAAAAUAUGUGCACCUUCUAGUCACAGAAAGUGACCAAGGUGCCCCUUUCACAGGCUCGAAGGUGCAGCAGUGGGCAAGAGACAUGGGUGUGCAAUGAAUUUUCCAUGUCUCCCAUGAUCCCAAAGCAGCAGAGAUGAUUAAGGUACAAUGAUCUUUUGAAACAAGGGGUCUGUAGUCAGUAUGGUUGGCCGUAGUUACCGGGAAAUUGGACAGGCUGCUGCACUUGGAGAUGGCAUUUCCUCCUGGCCCAAUGGACCCCUCCCCUGCAGGAAUAUCCCAGUAAUUGGGGAGGGUUCAGAGCCUAACAUUGGGUAAAGCAGUCCUAGAGUGCUACUAUCCACUGGCCCUCUUUACACCACAAGGAGUCACCACUGUGACAGAAGCAGAGGGAACUGCCCCUGCCCUGCACACAGCCUGGGUGUUUAACGCUACAUACCAAGCCAUAGGGCUCCUUAAUGAUGAAAUGUAUCAGUUACAGAAGGUGACCUUACAGACUAGCAUAGUCCUGGAUAUGUUAAAGGCAUCAGAAGGUUGAGUAGCACUACGAUUGGCUCAGAAUGCUGUGUAUAUACCAGAGGAGCACUCUAACGGUAGCCGAGCCUUGGAUGCCUUAGCUACAGAAAUGGUAGCUAUGGGAAAACUAACAGGAGAGCCUUUACAGAAGUAGGCCUCCCUCAAUACCAGCUGGUACACUGCUUUAGUCAUCUUAGGAGGAAUGGCAUGUUUCCUGAUAGCAUGCUGUUGUGGUGUUUCUUUUAUUUAUUUAUUUUUAUUUUUUUCCAUUAUAGCUGGUUUACAAUGUUCUGUCAAUUUUCCACUGUACAGCAGGGUGGCCCAGUCACAAAUACACAUAUACUUUCCUUUUUCCCACAUUAUCAUGCUCCACCAUAAGUGAUCAGAUAUAGUUUCCAGUGCAAUUCAGCAGGAUCUCAUUGCUUAUCCAUUCCAAAGGCAAUAGUUUGCAGCUAUUAACUCCAAAUUCCCAGUCUAUUCCAGUCCCUCCCUCUCCCCCUUGGCAACCACAAGUCUGUUCUCCAUGUGCAUGGUUUUGUUUUCUGUAGAAA
This 5262-nucleotide long non-coding RNA is filed under the name Sus scrofa (pig). RNAcentral describes it as "lncRNA (ENSSSCG00035015553.1)". The record is from RNAcentral. Lineage: Eukaryota; Metazoa; Chordata; Mammalia; Artiodactyla; Suidae.